UUAUUAUUGCAAUCCAAUGAAUAAUAAUAAUGAUAACAGUAGUAAUUAUUUUUCAUUGGGAGAGCUUGGGAAUUAUUACAAUAACAAUAAUGGGAGCAAUUUCCAUCUUCAAGUUCCUGAGGACUCCAUGAAUGUAGAGGUGAGUGAGAAUAAUAGUUUGCAGCCUUGUUUUGAAGAAACUGAUCAGUUGAUAAAAUUACCUGAAGAAGAAGCUGCUCAUUAUCAAACUGAGAUUAAUUGCAAGAAAAGAUCAAGAGGAGAAUUUGGGGAUCAUCAUGUACAAAAGGGAAGGAACGAGAGGGGAAAGAAAACUCAAAAGCUUACCUCAAGCACCAACACUGAAGAAGAUGGCAAUGGUGGCCUUAGCAGGCAAAGCACAAGCACCUACUGCUCGGAAGACGAAUCCAACGCCUCUCUCGAUCGAAACGGUGGAGCUAAUUAUAACUCGGGGUCAAGUCUGAAUGGGCCGAACAAAUCCCGAGCCAGCAGAGGUUCAGCCACAGAUCCUCAGAGCCUUUAUGCAAGAGUAAGAGACAAUAAUAAUGAACAAACUUUGAGAAAGCUAAGGAAAAAGAAACAUUUGGAAAAAUGAAAAAUCCAUAUUAUUCAUUGUUUGUAAUAAUUAUUAAUGUUCAAAUUUGUUACAGAAAAGAAGAGAAAGAAUCAAUGAGAGGUUGAGAAUCUUACAGAAUCUUGUCCCAAAUGGAACAAAGGUUGAUAUCAGCACAAUGCUUGAGGAAGCUGUUCAAUAUGUGAAGUUUCUACAACUCCAAAUCAAGCUACUAAGCUCUGAUGAUUUAUGGAUGUAUGCUCCGAUUGCUUACAACGGAAUGGAUAUCGGACUUAAUCCGACAACCCCAAAAACAGCAAAAGAGAAAGAAUUAUGAAACGGAGGAGAAGAUAGGGUGUGAUGUAUAAUUAAUAUGUUGAGAAGAAAAGGUUUAAUCUUUUGGGGAAUCUAAUAAUGUGUCUUUUGUAAAACUUCUUGAUAGAUUUUUCUUUUUCAUCAAGUUGGUGAUGAACAAGAGGGUCAUAUGAGAGUUUGGUAGAGCGAAUUCAAUUCAAGGAGUUUUCGAG
Molecule: RNA transcript, 1077 nt
Organism: Cucumis melo (muskmelon)
Lineage: Eukaryota; Viridiplantae; Streptophyta; Magnoliopsida; Cucurbitales; Cucurbitaceae
Exons: 4
Source: RefSeq, a predicted model, not a curated record